Molecule: ribosomal RNA, 492 nt
Filed under: uncultured bacterium
Lineage: Bacteria
Description: partial 16S ribosomal RNA
Rfam family: Bacterial small subunit ribosomal RNA
Source: RNAcentral
AGUGAACGCUGGCGGUAGGCCCAACACAUGCAAGUCGAACGGCAGCACAGUAAGAGCUUGCUCUUACGGGUGGCGAGUGGCGGACGGGUGAGGAAUACAUCGGAAUCUACUUUUUCGUGGGGGAUAACGUAGGGAAACUUACGCUAAUACCGCAUACGACCUACGGGUGAAAGCAGGGGAUCUUCGGGCCUUGCGCGAUUGAAUGAGCCGAUGUCGGAUUAGCUAGUUGGCGGGGUAAAGGCCCACCAAGGCGACGAUCCGUAGCUGGUCUGAGAGGAUGAUCAGCCACACUGGAACUGAGACACGGUCCAGACUCCUACGGGAGGCAGCAGUGGGGAAUAUUGGACAAUGGGCGCAAGCCUGAUCCAGCCAUACCGCGUGGGUGAAGAAGGCCUUCGGGUUGUAAAGCCCUUUUGUUGGGAAAGAAAAGCAGCAGGUUAAUACCCCGCUGUUCUGACGGUACCCAAAGAAUAAGCACCGGCUAACUUCGUG